Molecule: transfer RNA, 74 nt
Filed under: Rubrobacter radiotolerans
Lineage: Bacteria; Bacillati; Actinomycetota; Rubrobacteria; Rubrobacterales; Rubrobacteraceae
Also listed under: 11 other names
Description: tRNA-Pro (TGG) (tRNA-Pro-TGG-1-1)
Rfam family: tRNA
About the family: Transfer RNA (tRNA) molecules are approximately 80 nucleotides in length. Their secondary structure includes four short double-helical elements and three loops (D, anti-codon, and T loops).
Source: Rfam by way of RNAcentral
CGGGGCGUGGCGCAGCCUGGUAGCGCACCUGCUUUGGGAGCAGGGGGUCGGAGGUUCGAAUCCUCUCGCCCCGA